Molecule: unclassified non-coding RNA, 423 nt
Filed under: fungal sp.
Lineage: Eukaryota; Fungi
Description: partial internal transcribed spacer region
Rfam family: Eukaryotic small subunit ribosomal RNA (bases 1-46)
Source: RNAcentral
AAGUCGUAACAAGGUUUCCGUAGGUGAACCUGCGGAAGGAUCAUUAACACGUAUCCACGUAUCAACCAACUGCGCACUUGUUUUCACCCUCUCCCUGCUGCCGCCCAUGAGCUGACGAGAUUCACCGAUGCGAUCGCUUUGGAGUUCCGCGCAAGCGGAGCCCGCGCAUCACCGAAUUUCAUCGAAGUCGAGCAAUCGAUCUUCGACAGCUGUAGGACGACUAGUCAGGCCACCCCUCGUCUGCUCUUUGCUCCCCUCUUAGCGAGGGAGCGGAGCGGAUGUUACCAUCACACCUUUCACCCCCUUUUUGCUAGUUGACUUUUAUAUGUUGUCUGCCCGACGUACUUCGGUAUGCCGAUCAGUCACACGUUUAUUAUUUGAACGUUAAAUUUACAACUCUUAGCAAUGGAUAUCUUGGUUCUC